CACACUACAGACAGUGACAACCUAACGACGACGUCUGUCGAGGUUAACAUCGCCGUUACUGGCUUUAAACGCAAGUAGACAAAAGCACAGUUGUGUGUGUUUCUUGCUUAACUCGUUGUAUAGAUCUCAAACCAAGCGGUCUACCAAUCACGAUGACUAAACAAACACAGUUGUACCUAGCUGUCGUCUUGUUGCUGCUUUUCAUAACACUGGAAGCGAGACAUAUUCACCAUCACCAUCAUCACCGUCUGGCUCAAAGUCGAUCAUGCGCCAGGACCUUCGCUCCGUGUAACAACAUUCCUUGUUGCAAAGUCAGCGACAAGUGCGACUAUGUUACAUCUAUGUCAAACCCACAACGCGUCUGCAAGUGAUGUUUGAUUAACAACUAAUAGAGCCUCCGCGACAUUGACAGAAUAACAAGUGAAUGAUGUCGCCUGAAGGAAACUAGCAUGGGAUGCUCGAUGUACCCAAAUAGUAACAACAACAGGGUGGUCUGCCUACUGUCCGAGUUUGGGAUGUUAACGAAUCGCACGAGU
This is a long non-coding RNA of Pomacea canaliculata, 536 nucleotides long. RefSeq lists it as uncharacterized. The transcript has 5 exons. The record is from RefSeq and is a predicted model, not a curated record. NCBI's taxonomy places the organism in Eukaryota, Metazoa, Mollusca, Gastropoda, Architaenioglossa, Ampullariidae.